GUAACGGAAUGAGGGAUCACGAUUUUGCCCUCCUCGUGACGUUUCUGUCUACUACGUUGGAAAACGUUUUGCAACGGGACGUGUUUCCGUAGCUACCUAGGCUGUCUCCUCUUUUCAUUGGUUGUCGGAACCUGACUGACAGCAUCCAAGGGGGUCAGCGGGGGCGGAGGUUGAGUCCCCAGGUUGCGCUUUGCAAAGCAAGGAAAAAGACACUUGUGUGUGAGAGAGGGAGCGAGAGAGAGAAAAGACUUGGCCGCACCCUUUCUUUCCGGGAGAGUACACCGCUCACAGGUAGGCUAGGCUAAAGGAACAGACGCUCACAACUGAAACUUUGGAUUUUAACUUUUGUCCAGGUUUGUGGAUUAAGAGAAUUCUGCGCGUUACCCCGGAAGGCGAUAUGGAGAGAUAGGCUCUAAGGUAAUCAAGACAAAGACAAAGGCCGCAGCAGAGGGACGACGUUGGUUGGUGGAGAUAAACAUCAAUCAAACUGGACGCCCCCCAGGGCGAUACCACCCCCGACUCAACAAUAGGGUGUCUUCAUGCUCCCCCGACCCACGUAAACCCCCGCUAAGCCAUCCAGCCCCCCCCCCCCCCC
Molecule: long non-coding RNA, 595 nt
Organism: Esox lucius (northern pike)
Lineage: Eukaryota; Metazoa; Chordata; Actinopteri; Esociformes; Esocidae
Source: Ensembl